RNAcentral lists this ribosomal RNA (116 nucleotides) under Listeria monocytogenes. Lineage: Bacteria; Bacillati; Bacillota; Bacilli; Caryophanales; Listeriaceae. The record is from RNAcentral.
UCUGGUAGUAGUGGGGGGAGGUCGACACCCGUUCCCUUCCCGAACACGGUAGUUAAGCUUCUCUGCGCCAAUGGUAGUUGGGGGCUUCCCCCUGCGAGAGUAGGUCGCUGCCGGGC